This 478-nucleotide ribosomal RNA is filed under the name uncultured bacterium. RNAcentral's name for it is "partial 16S ribosomal RNA". It matches the Rfam family "Bacterial small subunit ribosomal RNA", at positions 28 to 507 of the family's 1533-position model. The record is from RNAcentral.
GAUGAACGCUAGCGGCAGGCCUAACACAUGCAAGUCGAGGGAGAAGCCCUUUCGGGGGCAGAAACCGGCGCACGGGUGCGUAGCGCGUAUGCAACCUACCUUUCACAGGGGGAUAGCCCGAAGAAAUUUGGAUUAAUACCCCAUAAUAUUAUUGGAUGGCAUCAUUUGAUAAUUAAAACUGCGGUGGUGAAAGAUGGGCAUGCGUCCUAUUAGCUAGUUGGAGUGGUAACGGCACCCCAAGGCUACGAUAGGUAGGGGUCCUGAGAGGGAGAUCCCCCACACUGGUACUGAGACAGGGACCAGACUCCUACGGGAGGCAGCAGUGAGGAAUAUUGGUCAAUGGUCGGAAGACUGAACCAGCCAUGCCGCGUGCAGGAAGAAUGCCUUAUGGGUUGUAAACUGCUUUUAUAUGGGAAGAAUAAGGUGUACGUGUACAUUGAUGACGGUACCAUAUGAAUAAGCAUCGACUAACUCCGUG